Molecule: long non-coding RNA, 1419 nt
Filed under: Hordeum vulgare
Lineage: Eukaryota; Viridiplantae; Streptophyta; Magnoliopsida; Poales; Poaceae
Description: long non-coding RNA (HVUL_LNC007868)
Source: RNAcentral
AAAUCUCUUCACCCCGGCUAGGUAAUCAAAUCGGACUAACCGCAAUGCGGAGCGUGCGUGCCGUCCGUAACGUCAAACUGAUUUCAGACUCGGCGGCAAGCAGAGCCCCGAUCCGAUCGAAGCCAUCCGUCUAUCUCAUACAGAUAGAUAGGUCACGACUCAGGGGCGCGUACUUAGCUAGACCUCGCUUAGCUUUGUUGGCUUGGUCCUCCGCCGCCGGCUUAGCUUGCUUGGUCGAUCAUGUCGCCGGUUGUUUGCCCCUGGCCAUUAGGCAGACCACCGUCACCACCCAGGAGGUGCCGGCAGCCUCAGAUCAAACAAGACCUCCUGCUGCACAGGAUGGAACAAGGCGAAGGCGGCGUAACUGAUGGUGAUUCUUCCACUGCCCGUGCAAGGUUCAGAGCCUUUUGGAGGAUCUUCAUAAGGGUACGUACCUAAGACGACGUACUGUUACUCAUAUACAGUAAUACAAUAUAUAUUUUUGAAUGAAAUUAAUUCGCCAUUAGUUCGGCCGAAAACUAAGGAAGUGAUCAGAUUUAGGAGGAUUGGAUGAGUUUAUGCUCUAAUGAUGGGGGGGGGGAUCAGGUGUUAAUGACGAGGCGAGAAAAGGAGCGGGGUUAAGAACAUCUACAGCCGGACAUUGCAAAUAUGACCUCCUAAAUGUGCGCGGACGCGUCUGGUUAGUGACCGGGCAUGUCCCAUAAUUGUCCGUCCGUGCAGCAAUAUAAUGUGUAUUGCUUUUUUGCAAAAGGUCAAGCUUCACAAAAUCUGAUUAAACUUGUGAAGAAAAUUAUCUAUAUCUAUAAUACUAAAUAUAUACUCCGAUUCAGGAUUUACUGCUAUUCUGUUUGGUAUUCUAGUUGUUAAUAUAUAUUUUUCUACAAGUUGAUUAAAAUUUAUAGAUUUCUACUUUAAAAAAUUCAACACACAACUACAUUUUAAGAAGGGAGGGGGUGUCUUCAAUUUGCUAACUGAUGUAUCUACUCACAACUAAGUUUUCCCUUCUUUUCUUUUCUUUUCAGUGUUUUACUCCGCUGGCGGCCGUGACUUUGGUGGUAUAUCUCUUUGUGGUGAGGCACAACCAUCUUGAUCCAGGAUUGCAGGAUCCUUGGCACAUGGCACUGAUUGUGUUUAUAGUUAUUUGCUUCGCGCCGACCGGGUACCUGUUGACCCAAGAUGACUAAAACUAUUAUAUUCCAUGCCGUGCAGUGUGUCGAUCUAGCUCAAUGUUUUUUUUAUAAUUUCUCAAUGUUCUCUUAGUCAAAAGUUCACCAGUUAAUGUGCAAGCCAGAAAGAUGUGUAUAUGAUUUUUAUUCCUUUCAAGUUUUUUUAUCAACCGGCAAAAGCACAACCCUUUCACAUGGAAGAAAAGAAGGUUAUCUGUAUGGAAGUGCCAAGUUUUUGAAAUGAACUUGCCCA